CUUAUCGUUCAUACCGUACCCGUACCGUAAACCGACACAGGUGGAUGAGGAGAGAAUCCUAAGGCCGGCGGAAGAAGCAUUGUCAAGGAACUCGGCAAAAUGGCCCCGUAACUUAGGGAUAAGGGGUGCCUGGGAAACCAGGCCGCAGAGAAUAGGCUCAAGCAACUGUUUAGCAAAAACACAGGUCUAUGCGAAACCGAAAGGUGAGGUAUAUGGGCUGACGCCUGCCCGGUGCUGGAAGGUUAAGAGGAGAGGUUAGCGGUAACGCGAAGCUUUGAAUUUAAGCCCCAGUAAACGGCGGCCGUAGCGAUAACGGUCCUAAGGUAGCGAAAUUCCUUGUCGGGUAAGUUCCGACCCGCACGAAAGGCGUAAUGAUUUGAGCGCUGUCUCGACAAUGCAUCCGGUGAAAUUGAAGUACCAGUGAAGAUGCUGGUUACCUGCGCCAGGACGGAAAGACCCCAUGGAGCUUUACUCCAGUCUGGUACUGGGACUCGGUAUUGCAUGUACAGGAUAGGUGGGAGGCUAGGAGAUGGUAACGCCAGUUGCCAUGGAGCCGCUGUUGGGAUACCACCCUUGCAGUAUUGGGUUUCUAACCAGCCGCCGUGACCCGGCGGUGGGACAAUGCCAGACGGGGAGUUUGACUGGGGCGGUCGCCUCCGAAAGGGUAUCGGAGGCGCCCAAAGGUUCCCUCAGAAUGGACGGAAACCAUUCGAAGAGUGCAAAGGCAGAAGGGAGCUUGACUGCGACACCGACGGGUGGAGCAGGUACGAAAGUAGGGCUUAGUGAUCCGGUGGUAUUAAGUGGGAAUGCCAUCGCUCAACGGAUAAAAGCUACCCUGGGAUAACAGGCUUAUCACUCCCAAGAGUUCACAUCGACGGAGUGGUUUGGCGCCUCGAUGUCGGCUCAUCGCAUCCUGGGGCUGUAGUAGGUCCCAAGGGUUGGGCUGUUCGCCCAUUAAAGCGGUACGCGAGCUGGGUUCAGAACGUCGUGAGACAGUUCGGUCCCUAUCCGGCGUGGGCGUAGGAUAUCUGAGAGGAGCUGUCCUUAGUACGAGAGGACCGGGAUGGACGGGCCGCUGGUGCAUCGGUUAGACUGCCAAGUCUACGGCCGAGUAGCCAAGCCCGGAAGGGAUAAACGCUGAAGGCAUCUAAGCGUGAAGCCCCCCUUAAGAUGAGAUAUCCCAUUCGUUAAGAAGUAAACCCCCUUGAAGACGACGAGGUAGAUAGGGCAGAGGUGGAAGUGCAGCAAUGCAUGGAGCUGACUGUUACUAAUCGGGUGAGGGCUUGACC
Molecule: ribosomal RNA, 1289 nt
Filed under: metagenome
Description: bacterial LSU rRNA
Rfam family: Bacterial large subunit ribosomal RNA
Source: RNAcentral